Molecule: ribosomal RNA, 518 nt
Filed under: Leptomantella albella
Lineage: Eukaryota; Metazoa; Arthropoda; Insecta; Mantodea; Leptomantellidae
Description: partial 16S ribosomal RNA
Rfam family: Bacterial large subunit ribosomal RNA
Source: RNAcentral
GUUCUCUUGAAUUAAUUAGGAGAUCUAACCUGCCCNCUGAAUGAAAAUAUUUGAAGGGCCGCAGUAUUUUGACUGUGCAAAGGUAGCAUAAUCAUUAGUCUUUUAAUUGAGGGCUAGAAUGAAUGGUUGGACGAGACAAAUACUUUAUCACUUUAAUGUAAAAUUGAAUUUAGAUUUUAAGUAAAAAUACUUAAAUGUUAAUAAGGGACGAGAAGACCCUAUAGAGUUUAAUAUACCAAAUUUAAAUUGAGUUUAUUCAAAAUUUUUGAUUUUUUAUGUAGUGUAUUUAAUUGGGGUGAUGAAAAGAUAAAAUUAACUCUUUUUAAUAAUAAAUUGUUUGAGAAGUUUUAUGAUCCAUUAAUUAAUGAUUAGAAGAUUAAAUUACCUUAGGGAUAACAGCAUAAUUUUUUUUGAGAGCUCUUAUUGAAAAAAAAGAUUGUGACCUCGAUGUUGGAUUAAGAGAAGUUUUAGGUGUAGAUGUCUAAAGAUUAGGUCUGUUCGACCUUUAAAUUCUUACA